GGCUGGUCUGAGUGCAGUGGUAUUUACAACUAGUUGAUUACAACCAGUUACAGAUUUCCUUGUUUCUUCUCCACUCUUACUGCUUCGCUUGACUAGCCUUAA
Prolemur simus (greater bamboo lemur) is the source of this 102-nucleotide unclassified non-coding RNA. It matches the Rfam family "Y RNA". Rfam says of the family: Y RNAs are components of the Ro ribonucleoprotein particle (Ro RNP), in association with Ro60 and La proteins. The Y RNAs and Ro60 and La proteins are well conserved, but the function of the Ro RNP is not known. The record is from Ensembl. Lineage: Eukaryota; Metazoa; Chordata; Mammalia; Primates; Lemuridae.